This 452-nucleotide ribosomal RNA is filed under the name uncultured bacterium. RNAcentral's name for it is "bacterial SSU rRNA". It matches the Rfam family "Bacterial small subunit ribosomal RNA", at positions 29 to 526 of the family's 1533-position model. The record is from RNAcentral.
AACGAACGCUGGCGGCAGGCUUAACACAUGCAAGUCGAGCGAGACCUUCGGGUUUAGCGGCAGACGGGUGAGUAACGCGUGGGAACGUACCUUUUGGUUCGGAACAACACAGGGAAACUUGUGCUAAUACCGGAUAAGCCCUUACGGGGAAAGAUUUAUCGCCGAAAGAUCGGCCCGCGUCUGAUUAGCUAGUUGGUGAGGUAAUGGCUCACCAAGGCGACGAUCAGUAGCUGGUCUGAGAGGAUGAUCAGCCACAUUGGGACUGAGACACGGCCCAAACUCCUACGGGAGGCAGCAGUGGGGAAUAUUGGACAAUGGGGGCAACCCUGAUCCAGCCAUGCCGCGUGAGUGAUGAAGGCCCUAGGGUUGUAAAGCUCUUUUGUGCGGGAAGAUAAUGACGGUACCGCAAGAAUAAGCCCCGGCUAACUUCGUGCCAGCCGCCGCAGUAACAC